RNAcentral lists this ribosomal RNA (466 nucleotides) under uncultured bacterium. RNAcentral's name for it is "bacterial SSU rRNA". It matches the Rfam family "Bacterial small subunit ribosomal RNA", at positions 330 to 794 of the family's 1533-position model. The record is from RNAcentral.
UCCAGACUCCUACGGGAGGCAGCAGUGAGGAAUAUUGGUCAAUGGUCGGGAGACUGAACCAGCCAAGCCGCGUGAGGGAGGAAGGUACAGAGUAUCGUAAACCUCUUUUGUCAGGGGACAAAGACUGGGACGCGUCCCCGGAUGAGUGUACCUGAAGAAAAAGCAUCGGCUAACUCCGUGCCAGCAGCCGCGGUAAUACGGAGGAUGCGAGCGUUAUCCGGAUUUAUUGGGUUUAAAGGGUGCGUAGGCGGGAUGCCAAGUCAGCGGUAAAAAUGCGGUGCUCAACGCCGUCGAGCCGUUGAAACUGGCGUCCUUGAGUGGGCGAGAAGUAUGCGGAAUGCGUGGUGUAGCGGUGAAAUGCAUAGAUAUCACGCAGAACUCCGAUUGCGAAGGCAGCAUACCGGCGCCCUACUGACGCUGAGGCACGAAAGCGUGGGUAUCGAACAGGAUUAGAUACCCUUGUAAA